GACACGGGCGGGGUCUACCAUGCAGUCGAACGAUGAAGCCCAGCUUGCUGGGUGGAUUAGUGGCGAACGGGUGAGUAACACGUGAGUAACCUGCCCUUAACUCUGGGAUAAGCCUGGGAAACUGGGUCUAAUACCGGAUAGGAGCGCCUACCGCAUGGUGGGUGUUGGAAAGAUUUAUCGGUUUUGGAUGGACUCGCGGCCUAUCAGCUUGUUGGUGAGGUAAUGGCUCACCAAGGCGACGACGGGUAGCCGGCCUGAGAGGGUGACCGGCCACACUGGGACUGAGACACGGCCCAGACUCCUACGGGAGGCAGCAGUGGGGAAUAUUGCACAAUGGGCGCAAGCCUGAUGCAGCGACGCCGCGUGAGGGAUGACGGCCUUCGGGUUGUAAACCUCUUUCAGUAGGGAAGAAGCGAAAGUGACGGUACCUGCAGAAGAAGCACCGGCUAACUACGUGCCAGCAGCCGCGGUAAUACGUAGGGUGCGAGCGUUAUCCGGAAUUAUUGGGCGUAAAGAGCUCGUAGGCGGUUUGUCGCGUCUGUCGUGAAAGUCCGGGGCUUAACCCCGGAUCUGCGGUGGGUACGGGCAGACUAGAGUGCAGUAGGGGAGACUGGAAUUCCUGGUGUAGCGGUGGAAUGCGCAGAUAUCAGGAGGAACACCGAUGGCGAAGGCAGGUCUCUGGGCUGUAACUGACGCUGAGGAGCGAAAGCAUGGGGAGCGAACAGGAUUAGAUACCCUGGUAGUCCAUGCCGUAAACGUUGGGCACUAGGUGUGGGGACCAUUCCACGGUUUCCGCGCCGCAGCUAACGCAUUAAGUGCCCCGCCUGGGGGAGUACGGCCGCAAGGCUAAAACUCAAAGGAAUUGACGGGGGCCCGCACAAGCGGCGGAGCAUGCGGAUUAAUUCGAUGCAACGCGAAGAACCUUACCAAGGCUUGACAUGUUCUCGAUCGCCGUAGAGAUACGGUUUCCCCUUUGGGGCGGGUUCACAGGUGGUGCAUGGUUGUCGUCAGCUCGUGUCGUGAGAUGUUGGGU
This is a ribosomal RNA of 1033 nucleotides. It matches the Rfam family "Bacterial small subunit ribosomal RNA", at positions 32 to 1080 of the family's 1533-position model.